This 90-nucleotide transfer RNA is filed under the name Bryobacterales bacterium. Its description in RNAcentral is "tRNA-Ser". It matches the Rfam family "tRNA". Rfam says of the family: Transfer RNA (tRNA) molecules are approximately 80 nucleotides in length. Their secondary structure includes four short double-helical elements and three loops (D, anti-codon, and T loops). Further hydrogen bonds mediate the characteristic L-shaped molecular structure. tRNAs have two regions of fundamental functional importance: the anti-codon, which is responsible for specific mRNA codon recognition, and the 3' end, to which the tRNAs corresponding amino acid is attached (by aminoacyl-tRNA synthetases). tRNAs cope with the degeneracy of the genetic code in two manners: having more than one tRNA (with a specific anti-codon) for a particular amino acid; and 'wobble' base-pairing, i.e. permitting non-standard base-pairing at the 3rd anti-codon position. Lineage: Bacteria; Pseudomonadati; Acidobacteriota; Terriglobia; Bryobacterales. The record is from RNAcentral. RNAcentral also lists the same sequence under 2 other names.
GGAGGAAUGGCCGAGUGGUCGAAGGCGGCGGUCUUGAAAACCGUUAGCGGUGUGAGCCGCUCGGGGGUUCGAAUCCCUCUUCCUCCGCCA